RNAcentral lists this long non-coding RNA (248 nucleotides) under Pan troglodytes (chimpanzee). RNAcentral's name for it is "long non-coding RNA NONPTRT016368". Lineage: Eukaryota; Metazoa; Chordata; Mammalia; Primates; Hominidae. The record is from RNAcentral.
UCCUGAUUCUCCCAGGAUUCAUAGACUUCAUAGCUGAUGAGGUGGACCUGACCUCAGCUCUGACCCGGAAGAUCACGCUGAAGACGCCGCUGAUCUCCUCCCCCAUGGACACUGUGACAGAGGCUGACAUGGCCAUUGCCAUGGCUCUGAUGGGAGGUAUUGGUUUCAUUCACCACAACUGCACCCCAGAGUUCCAGGCCAACGAGGUGCGGAAGGUCAAGGCAAGUACCAGGCCUGUCCCCAGCAAG